GGACUACCGGGGUAUCUAAUCCCGUUCGCUCCCCUGGCUUUCGCACCUCAGCGUCAGUUGCCUCCCAGGACACUGCCUUCGCCUUUGGUAUUCCUCCGGAUCUCUACGCAUUUCACCACUCCACCCGGAAUUCUAUGUCCCUCUGAGGCCCUCAAGAGUGAGCGUCUUCCCGGCACUCCCCUCGGUAAGCGAGGAGCUGGCACCGGAAACGCCUCACCCCACCUGCGUGCCCUUUACGCCCAGUAACUCCGGACAACGCUUGCCCCCUACGUAUUACCGCGGCUGCUGGCAC
This 292-nucleotide ribosomal RNA is filed under the name uncultured bacterium. RNAcentral's name for it is "partial 16S ribosomal RNA". The record is from RNAcentral.